Molecule: ribosomal RNA, 440 nt
Filed under: uncultured bacterium
Lineage: Bacteria
Description: partial 16S ribosomal RNA
Rfam family: Bacterial small subunit ribosomal RNA
Source: RNAcentral
CCUACGGGUGGCAGCAGUGGGGAAUAUUGCACAAUGGGGGGAACCCUGAUGCAGCAAUGCCGCGUGGGUGAAGAAGCACUCCGGUGCGUAAAGCCCUGUCAGCAGGGAAGAAAAUGACAGUACCUGGACAAGAAGCCCUGGCUAACUCCGUGCCAGCAGCCGCGGUAAUACGCAGGGGGCAAGCGUUAUCCGGAUUUACUGGGUGUAAAGGGAGCGCAGGCGGCGUGGCAAGUCAGAUGUGAAAACCCGGGGCCCAACCCCGGGAGUGUAUUUGAAACUGCCAUGCUGGAGUGCCGGAGAGGUAGGCGGAAUUCCUAGUGUAUCGGUGAAAUGCGUAGAGAUGAGGAGGAACACCAGUGGCGAAGGCGGCCUACUGGACAGUGACUGACGUUGAGGCUCGAAAGCGUGGGGAGCAAACAGGAUUAGAUACCCGAGUAGUC